Molecule: long non-coding RNA, 2520 nt
Filed under: Brassica napus (rape)
Lineage: Eukaryota; Viridiplantae; Streptophyta; Magnoliopsida; Brassicales; Brassicaceae
Source: RNAcentral
GAUCUCUUUACUUGUCGCUCUGUUCUGCCUCUCCCUGGUAAUUUCAGUCGACGUAAUCGUCUUUUGGAUUCAUAGUCUAAGCCAUUCUUGUUUCUAGUGCGAGCCUCUGAUCUGCCUUUAGAUUAUUUAGUCAUUAGUUGUGUGAUUCGUGUUCUGACGGCUAUGAUGAUAACAUAUAAUCCCAGCUCUACGAGACCUUUUGUGGUCAAGGAGUACAACUAUGUUCAUACAUUUAUCUGAGCCUUAUUCUUUUUAUUCGUUUUUUGAUAUUGAAUUUGGGUUUAUGUGGCUGUGAUGAUAACAUAUUAUCCCAGCUCAUUAUGAGACCUUUUGUGGUCAAGGAAAAUAACUGUUUUCUAACAUUUUUCUGAGCCCUUAAACCCUGACUUAUCAUAUUGUUUUUCUUUUACUAGUUAAAAUUCGAUUGUGUUCCCUGUGAUGAUUUAAUUGCUAAUGUAUACCUGAUCAAUUUUUAUAUGAUUUGUAAUUUAUUUCUGAGGGAGCAAUUAUGUUUUUGUUUUAAAUUAUGUUUGUAAACCGAUUCCCUAUGAUGGUUUAACCAUGCUAAUACUGAUGUCCUUGACUGAAAUAAUGUUAAGUUACUGAGGGAUUAUCUGUUUGAAUUUUAUUUUGCGUUUUGUUUAUGUUGUAGUUUUUUUUUUUGAGAUUGUAAUCUGUUUCUUAUUAUAUUCUUGAUUAUGUUUUGACUGAAUUUAUCAAGCUACUUCUAUUUGUAAUAUCUAUUGCGAGUAUUGUUCCUCAGAAUCCACGCAGUGGUGCUUUCUUCCAGUUUUUCCUCAACAUCUAAAGCAGGAUCCGGAUCCGGAUCAGACUGUCGUGUUGGCGGCAGCAUAAAAUCGAGACCAUUACUCCUUCUAGCAAUAUCACCGUCGGGAAAGUCGUCGUCAUCUCCCGAAUUAGCAAUCAUCUUGCCAUGUCGCUUGCUUUCCUUUCUAUCAACGUCCUUGUUUUUUCUUCUUCUAUCCUUCUUGUCUUCUCUAUCCGAAGUAUCAUCAAGCACCUAAUAGGAGUAGAUAAAAACAUCAAACUCAAGCCAGACUUUUAACACAUUAAAAAAAAAAAAGAAGAAGAAGAAUGAAAGGAAACGAGUAACCUUACCUCAUGACGAGGUAUGAUCUUUAUUCCAGAAAACAUGUUAAACAACUUGUUCCUGUGGAAGAAUCAAAUCAACAAGGAAGAGGGAAUCAAAAUUAGGGCAUGAAUACAAACAAAACAUGUACCGUUUUGCUACUUACAAUUCACUAGAUUACUAGAAACUGAGGUAAGCUCACAGGUCACAAGUAGUUUUAAGUAACACUGACAAAAAUCGAUUACGCCCAAAUAAAGCUUUGUCCUUUAAUCAAAUUAACUUCCUGUCAUUCAUCAACAACACCCAAAUCUCAAUUACUCGACUUUCUCUUCGUAUUCCUUAAAAGUCCCAUUGUCCUUGCGAUUCAAUUCAAAGGAAAGAACAAAAAUAUCAUCUUCAAAUUCGAGAGUUGGAGAGAUUCUAAGCAGAAACCAUCUCCUAUUUAUCAAAACAUAUAUCCCUUUUUUAAUCUAAGUUUAUGAGAGCUAAUUCAGAAAACAUACCGGAAGAAGAAGACAGUUUCGCCGCUCGCUCGCUCGCUGAUUUAGGGCUCGACAAAAGCCAGAAUGAAGAUUUGACAAACCGAGACUAAUAACCGGGACUAAAAUUAGAAAUACAAAGGCCAAAUCGGGGGAAAGAACCGGAUAUUGUCGAACCGAGAUUCAACUUCCGCUUAUACCAAGAUUGGUGGGCCAGAUAAAGUUCUAAGAACGUCUAAUUGCUUAAAAAGCCCAAAAUAAAAGGCUUAGGUUAAUAAGGCCUUGUGAUAUGAAAACCCUAGUUUCUCUUGGCCGUCUUUUAUAAAUAUCUUUUCGAUUCUCUCUAUUUCCGACAUCUUCUUGUUUUGAUCUCUUUACUUGUCGCUCUGUUCUGCCUCUCCCUGGUAAUUUCAGUCGACGUAAUCGUCUUUUGGAUUCAUAGUCUAAGCCAUUCUUGUUUCUAGUGCGAGCCUCUGAUCUGCCUUUAGAUUAUUUAGUCAUUAGUUGUGUGAUUCGUGUUCUGACGGCUAUGAUGAUAACAUAUAAUCCCAGCUCUACGAGACCUUUUGUGGUCAAGGAGUACAACUAUGUUCAUACAUUUAUCUGAGCCUUAUUCUUUUUAUUCGUUUUUUGAUAUUGAAUUUGGGUUUAUGUGGCUGUGAUGAUAACAUAUUAUCCCAGCUCAUUAUGAGACCUUAUGUGGUCAAGGAAAAUAACUGUUUUCUAACAUUUUUCUGAGCCCUUAAACCCUGACUUAUCAUAUUGUUUUUCUUUUACUAGUUAAAAUUCGAUUGUGUUCCCUGUGAUGAUUUAAUUGCUAAUGUAUACCUGAUCAAUUUUUAUAUGAUUUGUAAUUUAUUUCUGAGGGAGCAAUUAUGUUUUUGUUUUAAAUUAUGUUUGUAAACCGAUUCCCUAUGAUGGUUUAACCAUGCUAAUACUGAUGUCCUUGAC